This 99-nucleotide signal recognition particle RNA is filed under the name Flavobacteriales bacterium CG_4_9_14_3_um_filter_40_17. RNAcentral's name for it is "signal recognition particle sRNA small type". It matches the Rfam family "Bacteroidales small SRP", at positions 9 to 102 of the family's 107-position model. Rfam says of the family: The non-coding component of the signal recognition particle in Bacteroides Lineage: Bacteria; Pseudomonadati; Bacteroidota; Flavobacteriia; Flavobacteriales. The record is from RNAcentral.
UGGCAAGUACUACACAACCAGCUCCUGUCGAAUCCUCCAGGGUGGGAACACAGCAAAGGUAAAACGGUCGUAGCGGUGUGAUGUAGUUACUUGCCUUUU